AACGAACGCUGGCGGCAUGCCUAACACAUGCAAGUCGAACGAGACCUUCGGGUCUAGUGGCGCACGGGUGCGUAACGCGUGGGAAUCUGCCCUUGGGUUCGGAAUAACAGUUGGAAACGACUGCUAAUACCGGAUGAUGACGUAAGUCCAAAGAUUUAUCGCCCAAGGAUGAGCCCGCGUAGGAUUAGCUAGUUGGUGAGGUAAAGGCUCACCAAGGCGACGAUCCUUAGCUGGUCUGAGAGGAUGAUCAGCCACACUGGGACUGAGACACGGCCCAGACUCAUACGGGAGGCAGCAGUGGGGAAUAUUGGACAAUGGGCGAAAGCCUGAUCCAGCAAUGCCGCGUGAGUGAUGAAGGCCUUAGGGUUGUAAAGCUCUUUUACCCGGGAUGAUAAUGACAGUACCGGGAGAAUAAGCUCCGGCUAACUCCGUG
RNAcentral lists this ribosomal RNA (433 nucleotides) under uncultured bacterium. Its description in RNAcentral is "partial 16S ribosomal RNA". It matches the Rfam family "Bacterial small subunit ribosomal RNA", at positions 29 to 507 of the family's 1533-position model. The record is from RNAcentral.